RNAcentral lists this ribosomal RNA (460 nucleotides) under uncultured bacterium. RNAcentral's name for it is "partial 16S ribosomal RNA". It matches the Rfam family "Bacterial small subunit ribosomal RNA", at positions 338 to 795 of the family's 1533-position model. The record is from RNAcentral.
CCUCCGUGUGGCAGCAGUGAGGAAUCUUGGUCCAUGGGCGCGAGCCUGAACCAGCCAAGUCGCGUGAGGGAAGACGGCCCUACGUGUUGUCAACCUCUUUUGCCGGGGAGCAACGGGCGCCACGUGUGGCUCCACUGAGAGUACCCGGAGAACAAGCAUCGGCUAACUCCGUGCCAGCAGCCGCUGUAAUACGGAGGCUGCGAGAGUUAUUCGGCUUUCUUGGGUUUAAAGGGGGCGUAGGCGGAGCGUUAAGUCAGUGGUCAAAUUGAGGGUCUCAACCCCUUCCCGCCAUUGAAACUGGCGCUCUUGAGUGGAAGAGAAGUAUGCGGAAUGCGUGGUGUAGCGGUGAAAUGCAUAGAGAUCACGCAGAACCCCGAUUGCGAAGGCAGCAUGCCGGCUUCCUACUGACGCUGAAGCACGAAAGCGUGGGGAUCGAACAGGAUUAGAUACCCGAGUAGUC